GGCCUACGGGGGGCAGCAGUGGGGAAUAUUGGACAAUGGGCGCAAGCCUGAUCCAGCCAUGCCGCGUGAGUGAUGAAGGCCUUAGGGUUGUAAAGCUCUUUCACCCACGACGAUGAUGACGGUAGUGGGAGAAGAAGCCCCGGCUAACUUCGUGCCAGCAGCCGCGGUAAUACGAAGGGGGCUAGCGUUGUUCGGAAUUACUGGGCGUAAAGCGCACGCAGGCGGUUCGGUCAGUCAGGAGUGAAAGCCCCGGGCUUAACCGGGGAACUGCUUUUGAUACUGCCGAGCUUGAAUCACGGAGAGGGUAGUGGAAUUCCGAGUGUAGAGGUGAAAUUCGUAGAUAUUCGGAAGAACACCAGUGGCGAAGGCGACUACCUGGCCGUCGAUUGACGCUCAUGUGCGAAAGCGUGGGGAGCAAACAGGAUUAGAUACCCGUGUAGUC
RNAcentral lists this ribosomal RNA (442 nucleotides) under uncultured Magnetospirillum sp. RNAcentral's name for it is "bacterial SSU rRNA". It matches the Rfam family "Bacterial small subunit ribosomal RNA", at positions 335 to 795 of the family's 1533-position model. The record is from RNAcentral. Lineage: Bacteria; Pseudomonadati; Pseudomonadota; Alphaproteobacteria; Rhodospirillales; Rhodospirillaceae.